UCAGGAUGAACGCUGGCGGCGUGCCUAAUACAUAGCAAGUCGUACGAGGGAAGUCCAGCUUGCUGGACGGAACGAGUGGCGAACGGGUGAGUAAUACGUAAGCAACCUGCCUGCAAGGACUGGGAUAACACCUGGAAACGGGCGCUAAUACCGGAUAGGUAACAAAGGGGCAUCCCUAUGUUAUUAAAGGUUAGAAACACAAGCAGAUGGGCUUACGGUGCAUUAGCUAGUUGGUGAGGUAACGGCCCACCAAGGCGAUGAUGCAUAGCCGGCCUGAGAGGGUGAACGGCCACAUUGGGACUGAGACACGGCCCAGACUCCUACGGGAGGCAGCAGUAGGGAAUUUUCGGCAAUGGACGAAAGUCUGACCGAGCAACGCCGCGUGAGUGAAGAAGGUUUUCGGAUUGUAAAGCUCUGUUGUAAGGGAAGAACAGCACGGAAAGAAUCCGUGAAUGACGGUACCUUGCCAGAAAGCCACGGCUAACUACGUGCCAGCAGCGGC
RNAcentral lists this ribosomal RNA (502 nucleotides) under uncultured bacterium. RNAcentral's name for it is "bacterial SSU rRNA". It matches the Rfam family "Bacterial small subunit ribosomal RNA", at positions 24 to 518 of the family's 1533-position model. The record is from RNAcentral.